CCUACGGGUGGCAGCAGUAGGGAAUCUUCCACAAUGAGCGAAAGCCUGAUGGAGCGACGCCGCGUGGGUGAAGAAGGUCUUCGGAUCGUAAAACGCUGUUGUUAGAGAAGAAAAUGCGUAAGAGUAACUGUUCACGUUUCGACGGUAUCUAACCAGAAAGCCACGGCUAACUACGUGCCAGCAGCCGCGGUAAUACGUAGGUGGCAAGCGUUAUCCGGAUUUAUUGGGCGUAAAGGGAACGCAGGCGGUCUUUUAAGUCUGAUGUGAAAUCCUUGGGCUUAACCGGAGUAGUGCAUUGGAUACUGGGAGACUAGAGUGAAAAAGAGGAGAGCGGAACUCCAUGUGUAGCGGUGAAAUGCGUAGAUAUAUGGAAGAACACCAGAGGCGAAAGCGGCUCACUGG
RNAcentral lists this ribosomal RNA (402 nucleotides) under uncultured bacterium. RNAcentral describes it as "partial 16S ribosomal RNA". It matches the Rfam family "Bacterial small subunit ribosomal RNA", at positions 338 to 732 of the family's 1533-position model. The record is from RNAcentral.